Molecule: ribosomal RNA, 253 nt
Filed under: uncultured bacterium
Lineage: Bacteria
Description: partial 16S ribosomal RNA
Rfam family: Bacterial small subunit ribosomal RNA
Source: RNAcentral
UACAGAGGGGGCAAGCGUUGUUCGGAAUUACUGGGCGUAAAGGGCGCGUAGGCGGCCUUCUAAGUCAGACGUGAAAUCCCCGGGCUCAACCCGGGAACUGCGUCUGAGACUGGAAGGCUCGAAUCCGGGAGAGGGAUGCGGAAUUCCAGGUGUAGCGGUGAAAUGCGUAGAUAUCUGGAGGAACACCGGUGGCGAAGGCGGCAUCCUGGACCGGCAUUGACGCUGAGGCGCGAAAGCCAGGGGAGCAAACGGG